Molecule: ribosomal RNA, 621 nt
Filed under: Salmonella enterica
Lineage: Bacteria; Pseudomonadati; Pseudomonadota; Gammaproteobacteria; Enterobacterales; Enterobacteriaceae
Description: partial 23S ribosomal RNA
Rfam family: Bacterial large subunit ribosomal RNA
Source: RNAcentral
GGGUUGUGAGGUUAAGCGACUAAGCGUACACGGUGGAUGCCCUGGCAGUCAGAGGCGAUGAAGGGCGUGCUAAUCUGCGAUAAGCGCCGGUAAGGUGAUAUGAACCGUUAUAACCGGCGAUACCCGAAUGGGGAAACCCAGUGUGACUCGUCACACUAUCAUUAACUGAAUCCAUAGGUUAAUGAGGCGAACCGGGGGAACUGAAACAUCUAAGUACCCCGAGGAAAAGAAAUCAACCGAGAUUCCCCCAGUAGCGGCGAGCGAACGGGGAGGAGCCCAGAGCCUGAAUCAGCAUGUGUGUUAGUGGAAGCGUCUGGAAAGGCGCGCGAUACAGGGUGACAGCCCCGUACACAAAAGCGCAUGUGUUGUGAGCUCGAUGAGUAGGGCGGGACACGUGAUAUCCUGUCUGAAUAUGGGGGGACCAUCCUCCAAGGCUAAAUACUCCUGACUGACCGAUAGUGAACCAGUACCGUGAGGGAAAGGCGAAAAGAACCCCGGCGAGGGGAGUGAAAAAGAACCUGAAACCGUGUACGUACAAGCAGUGGGAGCACCCUUUUGGGUGUGACUGCGUACCUUUUGUAUAAUGGGUCAGCGACUUAUAUUCUGUAGCAAGGUUAACCG